UGUGUAGGCGGUUUUGUUAGUCUGUCGUUAAAUCUCCCGGCUCAACCGGGAACUCGCGACGGAAACGGCAAAACUAGAGGAUGUGAGAGGUGACCGGAACUCAAGGUGUAGGGGUGAAAUCCGUUGAUAUCUUGGGGAACACCAAAAGCGAAGGCAGGUCACUGGCACACUCCAGACGCUGAAACACGAAAGCGUAGGUAGCGAACG
This 207-nucleotide ribosomal RNA is filed under the name uncultured bacterium. Its description in RNAcentral is "partial 16S ribosomal RNA". It matches the Rfam family "Bacterial small subunit ribosomal RNA", at positions 568 to 774 of the family's 1533-position model. The record is from RNAcentral.